Molecule: small nuclear RNA, 107 nt
Organism: Heterocephalus glaber (naked mole-rat)
Lineage: Eukaryota; Metazoa; Chordata; Mammalia; Rodentia; Bathyergidae
Source: Ensembl
GUGUUUGCUUCAGAAGCACAAGUACUAAAACUGGAACAAUACAGAGAAGAUUAGCAUAGCCCAUGAACAAGGAUAACAUGCAAAUUCACGAAGUGCUCCAUAUUUUU